This 579-nucleotide ribosomal RNA is filed under the name uncultured bacterium. RNAcentral describes it as "partial 16S ribosomal RNA". It matches the Rfam family "Bacterial small subunit ribosomal RNA", at positions 355 to 932 of the family's 1533-position model. The record is from RNAcentral.
UGGGGAAUUUUGGACAAUGGGGGAAACCCUGAUCCAGCCAUCCCGCGUGUGCGAUGAAGGCCUUCGGGUUGUAAAGCACUUUUGGCAGGAAAGAAACGUCGCGGGUUAAUACCCCGCGAAACUGACGGUACCUGCAGAAUAAGCACCGGCUAACUACGUGCCAGCAGCCGCGGUAAUACGUAGGGUGCAAGCGUUAAUCGGAAUUACUGGGCGUAAAGCGUGCGCAGGCGGUUCGGAAAGAAAGAUGUGAAAUCCCAGAGCUUAACUUUGGAACUGCAUUUUUAACUACCGGGCUAGAGUGUGUCAGAGGGAGGUGGAAUUCCGCGUGUAGCAGUGAAAUGCGUAGAUAUGCGGAGGAACACCGAUGGCGAAGGCAGCCUCCUGGGAUAACACUGACGCUCAUGCACGAAAGCGUGGGGAGCAAACAGGAUUAGAUACCCUGGUAGUCCACGCCCUAAACGAUGUCAACUAGCUGUUGGGGCCUUCGGGCCUUGGUAGCGCAGCUAACGCGUGAAGUUGACCGCCUGGGGAGUACGGUCGCAAGAUUAAAACUCAAAGGAAUUGACGGGGUCAUAGCUG